RNAcentral lists this ribosomal RNA (731 nucleotides) under uncultured bacterium. Its description in RNAcentral is "bacterial SSU rRNA". It matches the Rfam family "Bacterial small subunit ribosomal RNA", at positions 124 to 873 of the family's 1533-position model. The record is from RNAcentral.
AUCUGCCCCCAUCACAGACAUAACCUCGGGAAACCGAGGCUAAUAUCUGAUGAGGUCGUGAGAUCAAAGCUUCGGCGGAUGGGGAUGAGCCUGCGGCUGAUUAGCUAGUUGGUGAGGUAAUGGCUCACCAAGGCGACGAUCAGUAGCUGGUCUGAGAGGACGAACAGCCACACUGGAACUGAGACACGGUCCAGACUCCUACGGGAGGCAGCAGUGAGGAAUAUUGGUCAAUGGGAGCAAUCCUGAACCAGCAAUGCCGCGUGUGGGAUGAAGGCGCUUCGCGUCGUAAACCACUGUCGGACGGGACGAAAGGAGCUAUGAAGCUCUAGGACGGUACCGUCAAAGGAAGGAUCGGCUAACUACGUGCCAGCAGCCGCGGUAAUACGUAGGAUCCAAGCGUUGUCCGGAUUUACUGGGUAUAAAGGGUGCGUAGGCGGCCUUGUGCGUCAGAGGUGAAAUCUCCGGGCUUAACCCGGAGGGUGCCUUUGAUACGGCAGGGCUUGAGUGCGAGAGAGGAUGAUGGAAUUCCUGGUGUAGCGGUGAAAUGCGUAGAUAUCAGGAGGAACACCGGUGGCGAAGGCGGUCAUCUGGCUCGAAACUGACGCUGAGGCACGAAAGCGUGGGGAUCAAACAGGAUUAGAUACCCUGGUAGUCCACGCCCUAAACGAUGUAUGCUUGGUGUUGGGGUCGCAAGAUCUCAGUGCCGUAGGAAAUCUGAUAAGCAUACCACC